This 1326-nucleotide long non-coding RNA is filed under the name Salmo salar (Atlantic salmon). RNAcentral describes it as "lncRNA (ENSSSAG00000118434.1)". The record is from RNAcentral. Lineage: Eukaryota; Metazoa; Chordata; Actinopteri; Salmoniformes; Salmonidae.
GUUUCUUACCUGCAGCCCACGACGUCUGAGAAUGUUUGGCUCGUCCAUUGUAGUAUAAAUUAUGAUUAUACCGCUGACUCCCUUUUUCCAAUUUAAUUCAACCCAUACUGCGUCCUCCUGUAUUAUACGCUUCACUGCGACUGGAUGAGAACUGAACACAUGUCUAUCGCGGACGCGACUAAGGUUUCAUCACAAAACGGAGAAUUUCGUUUAAUUGCCAGCCGCCCGGUGACCUGGCCAGCCGUGAGAAUUGGGAAUGAAUGUGCAGGGAGGGACUUCCGAAAAAUCGCGUAAAGUGGCAGUGCGGGGACCCUAUAUCUCAUUGAUCCUAUGCAACCUUUUUCCAACCCCUGUCUCACUCGUUUUUUUCCCAGAUUAUACCUGAGCUGUUUUUACAACUUCAAUGGAGUCCACCUGUGGUACAUUCAAUUGAUUGGACGUGAGUUGGAAAAGCACACACCUGUCUAUAUAAGGUCCCACAGUUGACAGUGCAUGUCAGAGAAAACACAAAGCCAUGAGGUCGAAGGAAUUGUCCGUAGAGCGCCGAGACAGGAUUGUGUCGGCACAGAUCUGAGGAAGGGUACCAAAACAUUUCUGCAGUAUUGAAGCUCCCCAAGAACACAGUGGUCGCCAUCAUUCUUAAAUGGAAGAAGCUUGAAACCACCAAGACUCUUCCUAGAGCUGUCCGCCAGGCCAAACAGAGCAAUCGGGGUAGAAGGGCCUUGGUCAGGGAGGUGACCAAGAACCCGAUGGUCACUCUGACAGAGCUCCAGAGUUCCUCUGUGGAGAUGGGAGAACCUUACAGAAGGACAACCAUCUCUGCACCACUCCACCAGUAAGGCCUUUAUGGUAAGCCUUUCAUCAAUAAAAGGCACAUGACAGCCCGCUUGGCGUUUGCCAAAAGGCACUUAAAAGACUCAGACCAUGAAAAUCUAAAUUCUCUGGUCUGAUGGAACCAAGAUUGAACUCUUUGGCCUGAAUGCCUAGCGUCACGUCUGGAGGAAACCUGUCACCAUCCCUACGGUGAAGCAUGGUGGUGGCAGCGUCAUGCUGUGGGGAUGUUUCUCAGUGGCAGGGACUGGGAGACUAGUUAGGAUCGAGGGAAAGAUGAAUGAAGCAAGGUACUGAGAGAUCCUUGAUGAAAACCUGCUCCAGAGCACUCAGGACCUCAAACUGGGGCAAAGGUUCAACUUCCAACAGGUCAACAACCCUAAGCACACAACCAAGACAAUGCAGGACAAAACAGAGAUGCUUGUUCUAGGUCCCAAGAAACAAAGAGAUCUUCUGUUGAAUCUGACAAUUAAUCUGGAUGGUUGUACAGUCGUC